GAGAUUUCGAAAUCGAAGUGCAACAAUUACAGCGGCAAUCCCAUUGGUUCGUCAUUUUUUCAUAUAUUUUUGUGUGUGUGAUACACUCACACUCGACAUGAACUAGACACAAGCCACAUUCAGUCCGUAAUGGAUGCCUAUCGACAAUAGUUGUAAUCAAAGUUACAAAUAAACCGUAAUUUAUGCCUAUGAGAGGUAGUUGCAUCAAGUAACUCGUAAUAUUGAAUUAAAUCUUAGAAAAACGCGGACCGAGAACACAUAGAAUAAGGAUGUUCCCCAAAUUGUGAGGAGAUAUCUUUGACACCGACAAUAUGCAAUCGGAUAAUAAAUAUUCAAUGCAUCAACACCGUUCAGUUCAUCCGUCAAUUUCGAAUGACUUACCGUCAACGUCCUCAUCAAAUGAGCAACAGGAUGACCAACCACUGGAUCCUCUAGAUGAAGCAACCGCUAUUCGACAUUUAUCGACCAUUGACAAAUUUAUACGAAAGGUUAAGGGACAAUCGAUGCUGGAUCGUUUGCCGGCUAACGGUCCCUUGAACGAACGUGCAGCUCAAACAAAUUUAACCAGACCCGAUCCAUUGUACCAGACAUACGAAGAAUUUCUCAUUAAAAAUUUUGACGCGAUAAAACAUCUGAAAUCGAGUAGCUCCAUCGACUAUCAGCAGAUCGCCCAGCUUCGAUAGCUCGAAAUCGUCUGGUAGCCAUGAAGAAGGCCGAACUGCUAUAUUAGAACGCUAUUUCGAUGAGAUGAAGCGUGACAUUCCCGCUAAAUGGGAAAUCACAAAUGAUGAAUUGUCUGGAUUGAGAUAUAGGUCAAGUAGUGGAAUAAAAAGAUAGAGUGCAAGCUGAGAGCUGUAAAAAAUACGAAGCUAAUGGUACGGAUGCCAUUCAGUGUCGGUGUAUUUACUCAAUGUUCAAAAUAUUUUCAAUUGCCUGUAAGAGGCUGUACAGAAAAUUUGUAGAAUUAAUUUCAAACCGAAGCUUUGGUUAGAUUUGUAAUUUUAUUUGUUUUUAUGGAUCAUUGAAUACACCAAUUAAACAACCAGAAA
This is a long non-coding RNA of Bradysia coprophila, 1049 nucleotides long. RefSeq lists it as uncharacterized. The record is from RefSeq and is a predicted model, not a curated record. NCBI's taxonomy places the organism in Eukaryota, Metazoa, Arthropoda, Insecta, Diptera, Sciaridae.